AGAGUUGUCCAGACGGUUGCGUAGUCUUUGACUAUGAGGAAAGUCCGAGCAGCACAGAGCAGGAUAACGGCUAACGGCCGCCGAGGGUGACCUUAGGGAAAGUGCAACAGAAAUAAACCGCCGUCUUUACGGUAAGGGUGGAAAGGCGAGGUAAGAGCUCACCGAGAGAGUGGAGACAUUCUCUGCCAUGUAAACCCUAUCCGCUGCAACACCGACCGGAGAGUUGGUUGCUCGCCACAUAACUCCGACGGGUGGCUUGAGCAAGGUGGCAACAUCUUGUCGAGAUAGAUAAUCGUCCACGACAGAACUCGGCUUACGGACAACUCUGCUA
Eubacterium coprostanoligenes is the source of this 331-nucleotide non-coding RNA. NCBI's taxonomy places the organism in Bacteria, Bacillati, Bacillota, Clostridia, Eubacteriales, Eubacteriaceae. The record is from Rfam.